ACAAGCGGAGGAACAUGUGGUUUAAUUCGAUGAUACGCGAGGAACCUUACCUGGGCUUAAAUGGGGAGUGACAGCUGUCGAAAGAUGGUUUUCUUCGGACACUCUUCAAGGUGCUGCAUGGUUGUCGUCAGCUCGUGCCGUGAGGUGUCGGGUUAAGUCCCAUAACGAGCGCAACCCUUACCGUUAGGUUACCAUCAGGUUAAGCUGGGGACUCUAGCGGGACUGCCACCGUAAGGUGAGAGGAAGUGGGGAUGACGUCAAAUCAGCACGGCCCUUAUGUCCAGGGCUACACACGUGUUACAAUGGCCAGUACAAAGGGCAGCUACCGGGUGACCGGAUGCUAAUCUCUAAAGCUGGUCUCAGUUCGGAUCGAAGUCUGCAACCCGACUUCGUGAAGCUGGAUUCGCUAGUAAUCGCGCAUCAGCAUGCCGCGGUGAAUACGUUCCCGGGCCUU
This 454-nucleotide ribosomal RNA is filed under the name uncultured Sphingobacteriales bacterium. RNAcentral's name for it is "bacterial SSU rRNA". It matches the Rfam family "Bacterial small subunit ribosomal RNA", at positions 925 to 1382 of the family's 1533-position model. The record is from RNAcentral. Lineage: Bacteria; Pseudomonadati; Bacteroidota; Sphingobacteriia; Sphingobacteriales.